RNAcentral lists this long non-coding RNA (652 nucleotides) under Solanum tuberosum (potato). Its description in RNAcentral is "long non-coding RNA (STUB_LNC000896)". The record is from RNAcentral. Lineage: Eukaryota; Viridiplantae; Streptophyta; Magnoliopsida; Solanales; Solanaceae.
GUUGGUAAAACAUGAUGACAUAAUGGAAGUUAUAGUGCUAUUUUACAUCAAGACUGAAUUAAACGUGCUUGUCUGAUUUUUUUUCUUUUGAAAGGGAUAAGAAACUCAUAGCAGUUUGCUCUACAAAUCUUAAUUUUUGAAUAACCAUAAAUCCUUGGAACAGGAUUUAUAUUGAAUCCCAGCCAAUAUACAGAAAGAACCAAACCUUUUUCUGCUUUAUAUCUACUAGUGUAGUAAGCAUCUUUUCCAAGGCAGUAUUAAAUUCAAUCUUAUGCUUGAUGACACUCAACACCGCCGAAGAAAUUCAUAUCUUCAUGGCAACAAUCACUAAUAUUUUUUACGAGAGAGAAAUUCUGAAGGAUGACUUGAACUAAUAAUACCACCUUUUAAAGGAAAAAAGUGUCUUCUUUCCUUCAAUACUCAAUGUUGGAAAGGUUCCCCAAGCUUUACUAGCUCAUAGGAUGGACUUGAAUUUUGUUUUCUGAUCGUAGUUCUGCUUAUCAAAGAUCCAUGUCUAGUUUAAAAUUAAAGUUUGGUGUGUUUAUAGCCUUAAUCUAAAUUAUAAGAUCGUCGGUUAAAACUAAUUCAAAUUUUUUGAGACCAGAAUGAAGUUGCUGACUUAAAUGGAUGAUAGUGAUAUGAUUCAAAUAAU